UGAAGAAUGCUUCAUUAAUACAGAGAGAAAAAGAAAAAAAUUGUUGAAAAUAAUGAAUAAUAUUCUAUUAAUGUAGAGAGAAAAAAAUUAUUAAAAAAAUGAAGAAGUACAUAAUGUUUUGAGAAUAAAAAAAAUAUGAAAAAAUGUAGAAUAUUUUGAAAUAAAAAAAUGGUUUAAACCCUUUUUUGGUCUCUAAGUUAAGUUCUGAUGUUCAGUUUA
This 219-nucleotide long non-coding RNA is filed under the name Vigna radiata. RNAcentral's name for it is "long non-coding RNA (VRAD_LNC002007)". Lineage: Eukaryota; Viridiplantae; Streptophyta; Magnoliopsida; Fabales; Fabaceae. The record is from RNAcentral.